UUGCUGACGAGUGGCGGACGGGUGAGUAAUGUCUGGGAAACUGCCCGAUGGAGGGGGAUAACUACUGGAAACGGUAGCUAAUACCGCAUAAUGUCGCAAGACCAAAGAGGGGGACCUUCGGGCCUCUUGCCAUCGGAUGUGCCCAGAUGGGAUUAGCUUGUUGGUGAGGUAAUGGCUCACCAAGGCGACGAUCCCUAGCUGGUCUGAGAGGAUGACCAGCCACACUGGAACUGAGACACGGUCCAGACUCC
RNAcentral lists this ribosomal RNA (251 nucleotides) under uncultured Enterobacteriaceae bacterium. RNAcentral describes it as "partial 16S ribosomal RNA". It matches the Rfam family "Bacterial small subunit ribosomal RNA", at positions 85 to 339 of the family's 1533-position model. The record is from RNAcentral. Lineage: Bacteria; Pseudomonadati; Pseudomonadota; Gammaproteobacteria; Enterobacterales; Enterobacteriaceae.